RNAcentral lists this ribosomal RNA (729 nucleotides) under uncultured bacterium. RNAcentral's name for it is "bacterial SSU rRNA". It matches the Rfam family "Bacterial small subunit ribosomal RNA", at positions 771 to 1501 of the family's 1533-position model. The record is from RNAcentral.
AACAGGAUUAGAUACCCUGGUAGUCCACGCCGUAAACGAUGAGUGCUAGGUGUUGGGGGUUUCCGCCCUCUGUGCCGAAGGUAACCCAAUAAGCACUCCGCCUGGGGAGUACGGCCGCAAGGCUGAAACUCAAAGGAAUUGACGGGGGCCCGCACAAGCGGUGGAGCAUGUGGUUUAAUUCGAAGCAACGCGAAGAACCUUACCAGGGCUUGACAUCCCGCUGACCGGUGUAGAGAUGCACCUUCCCUUCGGGGCAGCGGUGACAGGUGGUGCAUGGUUGUCGUCAGCUCGUGUCGUGAGAUGUUGGGUUCAGUCCCGCAACGAGCGCAACCCUUGUCGUCAGUUGCCAGCACAUGAUGGUGGGCACUCUGGCGAGACAGCCGGUGAAAGCCGGAGGAAGGUGGGGAUGACGUCAAAUCAUCAUGCCCCUUAUGUCCUGGGCUACACACGUGCUACAAUGGCCGGUACAACGGGCAGCGAACCCGUGAGGGGGAGCCAAUCCCAAAAAACCGGUCUCAGUUCGGAUCGCAGGCUGCAACUCGCCUGCGUGAAGCUGGAAUCGCUAGUAAUCGCGGAUCAGCAUGCCGCGGUGAAUCCGUUCCCGGGCCUUGUACACACCGCCCGUCACACCACGAGAGUCUGCAACACCCGAAGUCGGUGAGGUAACCUUCGGGAACCAGCCGCCGAAGGUGGGGCAGAUGAUUGGGGUGAAGUCGUAACAAGGUAACC